UAUUGUAGGCGGCGUUGGAUAAGAAAUAGAUAGUUAAACCUCCUCUACGUUGCAUUACUCGUAUUAAAGUCAAUCUUCGUCCUGUAGUUUUAAAUUUCCAUUUUUACCCGCACCAUCCCGUUCAGCGCGAUAGCGAUGACGGACAUUUAUAGAUUUAUUUUCAGGAUAUUAUUAUGUCUAAUACAGUAACUGGUACCGUUAAGUGGUUUAACGAAGCAAAAGGUUUUGGUUUUAUCGAGCAGCAAGGUGGCGCAGACGUAUUUGCUCACUUCAGCGCUAUCAGCGGUAACGGCUUCAAAACGCUGACCGAAGGCCAACAAGUUUCUUUCUCAAUCACCCAAGGUCCUAAAGGUCCUCAGGCUGAGAACAUCGUUGCACUGUAAGCCAGUGAAAUGAUGCCAAGUACUGAAUCAGUACUUAAGCAAUAAAAAAGGAGCGAUUAUCGCUCCUUUUUUU
This 456-nucleotide small RNA is filed under the name Idiomarina xiamenensis 10-D-4. RNAcentral describes it as "Idiomarina sp. 10-D-4 cspA thermoregulator". It matches the Rfam family "cspA thermoregulator". Lineage: Bacteria; Pseudomonadati; Pseudomonadota; Gammaproteobacteria; Alteromonadales; Idiomarinaceae. The record is from Rfam by way of RNAcentral.